Molecule: ribosomal RNA, 460 nt
Filed under: uncultured bacterium
Lineage: Bacteria
Description: partial 16S ribosomal RNA
Rfam family: Bacterial small subunit ribosomal RNA
Source: RNAcentral
CCUACGGGAGGCAGCAGUGAGGAAUAUUGGUCAAUGGACGAGAGUCUGAACCAGCCAAGUAGCGUGAAGGAUGACUGCCCUAUGGGUUGUAAACUUCUUUUAUAUGGGAAUAAAAUGUUCCACGUGUGGGAUUUUGUAUGUACCAUAUGAAUAAGGAUCGGCUAACUCCGUGCCAGCAGCCGCGGUAAUACGGAGGAUCCGAGCGUUAUCCGGAUUUAUUGGGUUUAAAGGGAGCGUAGGUGGAUUGUUAAGUCAGUUGUGAAAGUUUGCGGCUCAACCGUAAAAUUGCAGAUGAAACUGGCAGUCUUGAGUACAGUAGAGGUGGGCGGAAUUCGUGGUGUAGCGGUGAAAUGCUUAGAUAUCACGAAGAACUCCGAUUGCGAAGGCAGUUCACUGGACUGCAACUGACACUGAGGCUCGAAAGUGUGGGUAUCAAACAGGAGUAGAUACCCGAGUAGUC